This 429-nucleotide ribosomal RNA is filed under the name uncultured archaeon. RNAcentral describes it as "bacterial SSU rRNA". It matches the Rfam family "Archaeal small subunit ribosomal RNA", at positions 474 to 903 of the family's 1478-position model. The record is from RNAcentral.
UACCAGCUCUCCGAGUGGUAGGGAUGAUUAUUGGGCUUAAAGCGUCCGUAGCCGGCUUGGCGAGUCUCCUGUUAAAUUCAGCGACCUAAUCAUUGACCCGCGGGAGAUACUACUGGGCUAGGAGGCGGGAGAGGCCGACGGUACUUCCGGGGUAGGGGUGAAAUCCUAUAAUCCCGGGAGGACCACCAGUGGCGAAGGCUGUCGGCUAGAACGCGCUCGACGGUGAGGGACGAAAGCUGGGGUAGCGAACCGGAUUAGAUACCCGGGUAGUCCCAGCUGUAAACUAUGCGGGCUAGGUGUUGGGGUGGCUACGAGCCACUUCAGUGCCGCAGGUAAGCCAUUAAGCCCGCCGCCUGGGGAGUACGGCCGCAAGGCUGAAACUUAAAGGAAUUGGCGGGGGAGCACCACAAGGCGUGAAGCUUGCGGUUC